CAGCACCUCAAGUGGUCAGGAUGAUUAUUGGGCCUAAAGCAUCCGUAGCCGGCGCUGUAAGUUUUCGGUUAAAUCUGUACGCUCAACGUACAGGCUGCCGGGAAUACUGCAGCGCUAGGGAGUGGGAGAGGUAGACGGUACUCGGUAGGAAGGGGUAAAAUCCUUUGAUCUAUUGAUGACCACCUGUGGCGAACGCGGUCUACCAGAACACGUCCGACGGUGAGGGAUGAAAGCUGGGGGAGCAAACCGGAUUAGAUACCCGAGUAGUCC
RNAcentral lists this ribosomal RNA (270 nucleotides) under uncultured archaeon. RNAcentral's name for it is "partial 16S ribosomal RNA". It matches the Rfam family "Archaeal small subunit ribosomal RNA", at positions 477 to 747 of the family's 1478-position model. The record is from RNAcentral.